UUGGGGGAAUGUAGUGGCUGUUUGUUACUAACUUUUUUUUGCCCGCAAGAAUUUACCCCUUAGACAGUGGUCUUAGAUGUCUUCAUACCCAAAUUUAAGCCCGUGUGUGAAUGUAGUCCGCAUGUAAUUACCAUGCAAAUAAAUCUAAUUGCAUUACGCUGAUGAAACUGUAUGUUGGGGAAUUUUCACUGAUUAAAAAGCAGCUGUUUCUCCACGCGAGGCGGUGCGCAGCGGCAUGCAGGAAACCAAUGACAGCCGGGAAUUGUGGCGCAAGAAAAGGACCUGUGCCAACUACUCGGGUGUGUGGAGUUAGUAUGUGCUUUGCAAGGUUAAAGACUCGUAUCAAAGAUGAUGCUGACGUAUGUACGGUUUUGAGUAAAGCAACAACUUGUUGCAUGGUAAAGUGUAAUAACGAAAUACAAUUAAUAAAGUAAUCUAGUCGUUCAAUCUGAAAUAACCAAACCAACAAACAGAAAAUAAUAAUAUUGUACAACCGGAAGAAAUAAGGCAACCAGUAUCGGAAAUUGAACAUUUGAUAUCGAUGAACUGGCAGUAUCUAAAAUUAAACAUAUGAAAUGAAAUAGAUUUUAUUGUAUGGAUUGUACAAAUUUUGGGAAGGUUCUCAUAUGAACGCUUGCAGAGACAAAAAACUGCCAAUGGCAGAUCAAUCAAAGGUAAUACAUUUGCACUCCUAUUUACCAAAUUCUGAGUGGGGUACAGUUAAUACAAACUUUAUUGCUAGACCUGAGGAUUUUAUGCUUUGGUAGGAUGGCAUUAUGGCACGUCUCUUAAAGGACCACACUACCUUCUGAUGUGUUUCAGUGCUACAUUUGCUCUGUAGUACAUGAACCCAGUGACCGGACGUUUAUUUAACCUAAAAUGUACUUUGGAUAAUAGCGCUCCUCAGUUUCACAGAUACUGAAGUGACCCUAUGAGGAAGUUCUUUGUUGCUUGAAAGGGGCAGAUCUCUGCAAAUUAAAACAAUUUAAUGCAUUUCACGUAUUCAAUGUGGUCUUCUUUAGUAUGAUUCACACAUAUUCCACAUGACACGCUUAAUAAACAUGGGUUUAGGACAAUGAAUCCUUUACUGUUUAAACUAAAAAAAAUCCCAGUGUGCCCUACUGUUUGGAGCGCAUUACAAUGGAAUUGUUCAGAAAGUGGAAAAUAUUGCUUAACAUUUCUUACAUUAGUUACAGAUCAUUUUACAUGUCAAUUACAUUUACGCUUUGUGAUAUAUAAACAGUGAAUCAGUCAGUGAAGGAAAGCAUUUCCUAAGAGAUAAUACUGAAAAUAAAAAUAAUAUCCUUAAACAACCGUUCACCACACCAGCUUUGGAUUUGGAAACGAAAUAAAAGAACUUUUGCUGCACUCUACCGGUGUGUAACCCUUGGCUGAGUGGAGGCGUGUUAAAUAAAGUGUCAUUUCGGGCUGUUUUGUGGCGACUCGCAGGCCAUUGUUGGCGGGUUAGGGAGAGCCGUGCUGGGGCACGCGGGGCACUUGUUUGCUGAAGGCCCACCGGCCUCAGAGGCCAGCUGUGUACAUGGCUCUUCACCUUUAGCCUGUUUGCUUUGGGAUUGGAAGGUAAUGAUGCAAACCUAACCCCUGGAUCCUGGCCAUGCUUCUGCUAAGUCCCUCUCUUCAGAAACCCAAGCCCCUACCUCUUGGAGUUUUAGGAGAAUUUCUUUUUUUUAUUUUUUUUAUUUUAAAUGCAGGAAUGCAUCUGACUGGUGUCUUGAGGUAAUACUGUGGCUUCUGCCUGGCAUGUUAUUUAUUCAGCUUCAUACAAGGUAAUAUUAAGUUAUUCAAUUUAAAGGACUUUAUUCACAAUCUUUAACUGAAACUUACAGGGUGUGACCAGAUCUAUAAAUGUAUGCUUUAUACAUUAAAAUUGUCUUCAAUAAUUUCACAAGUUGGUUUUGUUCAACAGAAUAAGGGUUGUGCUGUGAAAUGUCUGCUGACUGGCUAAAAUUCAGUUAUGAAGGAAUGUUCCACAGAAUUGCAUGCUGUUUGACGUCAAAAAUGAUAAACAAGAAACACUCUUACCAUUCCAGGAAAACUGCUCUGUAAAUUAAAUCACCUUUUAAAAGCCCUCUGAGUUGCUUCUGCAUAAAAUGUCUGCCAAAUAAGUAGAAAAUAAACUCAUUUCAAAAUCUAUAUAUUAAUAAUGACAUGUUCUAAAAUAGUUUAAUGUUAGAUUAGAAUUAGUAUUAGUUUAGUUAAUACUUUAAUUGAACCCAGCUUCAUUUUCUUCUUUAUCAGUGGUCACUGUCUAGUUUUAUGUAGUUUUCCACUUGAAAAUAAUUCUUGGGUGACUAACUUUUAGAGCAGAGAAAUGAAUAGUUUAGAACUUGUGGCUUUAGAUUACAUCAGCACGACAUCUUACAAAUGAGAAAACAGGCGUACACAUUUACUCUCUCUCUCUCUCUCGCUCUCUCACACACACACACAC
Molecule: long non-coding RNA, 2449 nt
Organism: Anguilla anguilla (European eel)
Lineage: Eukaryota; Metazoa; Chordata; Actinopteri; Anguilliformes; Anguillidae
Exons: 3
Source: RefSeq, a predicted model, not a curated record